This 92-nucleotide non-coding RNA is filed under the name human gut metagenome. RNAcentral describes it as "THF riboswitch". It matches the Rfam family "THF (Tetrahydrofolate) riboswitch aptamer". From Rfam's summary of the family: THF riboswitch presents a pseudoknot that joins P1-P2 and the loop of P3 and two THF binding. The record is from RNAcentral.
CAGAGUAGGCUUGAGUGCGUUAAGUUCCGCCCGAACGGGGAGUUGUCGGGCGGCCGAAAGAUCUUCUGCGGUGCUCAAGCCGCAUCCCGCUG